Long non-coding RNA from Gorilla gorilla gorilla (western lowland gorilla), 1704 nucleotides. RefSeq lists it as uncharacterized. NCBI's taxonomy places the organism in Eukaryota, Metazoa, Chordata, Mammalia, Primates, Hominidae. The record is from RefSeq and is a predicted model, not a curated record. The transcript has 3 exons.
GAAAAGCGGGGCAGCAUCAAACCCCUCCCACUGGGGCAACCUGCUGAGCAUCUCCCUGGCCUUGGCCCCUGGCCAUACCACACAAGUGUCCAAUGAGUCACUGAUCCUGAAGAACAAGAGAAGACUGACCACAGACCCCAAAAGGAAGCAGGAAUACAACCUUCGAAGUUGGUGGCCAACAAGAGGUCAGAGGUUGACAAGCAUCCACACAGCUCUAAGACUAGCAUCAUGUGGCUACCCAGGACCUGGGAGCAGUGCUGCAGAGCAGGAGCAGGAAAGGGACCAGCUGUUCCCAUAGAAUUCAAUGUCACAAGUCUGGGAGCCAGGGGGCCUUGGUUCUAGUCCCAACUCUCCCUCUAAGUUGUCUUAUGGCCACAGCAAGGAACCAAGACAAUGAGAAGUAGCGAGUACAGUUGAGGAGGCCUUGUCUGAGGAGGAGGCAAGUUUUCAUGAAGAUGCAGCAGAUCAUCUGGGAGAAAUUGAGAAUGAGGAAGGACUUGAUAAUAGGGCAUCUCGGUUCUGCUGAACACUCCUGAAUAAAGGGGAGGCCACAAGUCCCCACAUCUGGAUAAGGAGCCCAGUUGGUGGGCAUGGAACGGACCUUGACACAGAAGAGAAUGGAGAUAUGGGAGCCAUGUCCUGGAACCCUGGCUUGGUGUUGAAAUAAAUUAGAAGCUGACUUGCUGUGCAGCUGAUAAAGCUUCCACUUCGGGGCCCUUCAGUUGCGUGGGCCUUUCCCAAGACCCCAGGGAAGGGCUUAGCAAUGUGCUCACAUGGUCUGAUGUUCUUAUAUGCAAACAAUUUUUUUAGAGAUAUCUUAAGUAUGCUUGCUCAACACCUCUGUCCACUUCUGCCUUCCCUCCAUCCUUCUUCUUCUUCUUGCCUUGAGUGUGUUUGGAGAUCACGGGGGCUUUGAGGCUCCAUCUAAGAGGAAGUUAAACGGAAGAUCCAGUUAGCUGGGUUUCAUGGGAUAUAUUUGUGAGGUUCACAGUCACUGUUGUGUCGGGUUAAGUUACUGCUAGCUGUCCCAGUAUGGAGUAGAUUCCAGGAAUACUCCUGUGGCCCCCGUGCUGACCUGCCCUGCAGUGAUGUGAUUGUACAGGGCCAGGUCAUAUUGUGAUCAGGACGUGGCCUAUGUACUGGCACUGUAUGGCUGGAUAGUGGAAGAGAAGCUAGUAUAAACAUGUGCAGACCAAAACUGGUCUGUGGAAAAUUCUCCCUAUCAUCGGACAUGUACAAAGCUAAGCAGAGGAUUCUAUUUUCAAAACACCUGAAGCAGAGGAUUCUAUUUUCAAAACACCUGCUCAAAACGGAAGAGCUCUCCUGUCAGUAGACUCCAUCAUCCACUGUCUAAAACAAUAAAAGUCCUGUACAAUAUUUUUCUUUGUUAAUGGACAUCAGUGAAGUGACUUGUUCAGGCUUCUCAUGUGUGUAGAGCACAGACCUAUGCCAGUACUACAAACAGGGAGUGAGUUUGUGUGCAAAGUUAUAUGCCUUAUGGCCGGGUGUGGUGGCCCGUGCCUUUAAUCUCAGCACUUUGGGAGGCCAAGGUGGAUGGAACACUUGAAGCCAGGAGUUCGAGACCAGCCUGGCUAACAUGAUGAAACUCUGUAUCUACUAAAAAUACAAAAAAAUUAGCCUGGCAUGGUGGCACGUGCCUAUAAUCCCAACUACUCGGGAGACUGAAGCAGGAGAACUGCUUGA